RNAcentral lists this ribosomal RNA (473 nucleotides) under uncultured bacterium. RNAcentral's name for it is "bacterial SSU rRNA". It matches the Rfam family "Bacterial small subunit ribosomal RNA", at positions 28 to 507 of the family's 1533-position model. The record is from RNAcentral.
GACGAACGCUUGGCGGCGUGCUUAACACGAUGCAAGUCGAACGGUGACGUAGGAGCUUGCUCCUCUGAUCAGUGGCGAACGGGUGAAGUAACACGUGAAGCAACCUGCCCCAGACUCUGGGAUAACAGUUGGAAACAGCUGCUAAUACCGGAUACGAGACGGAGAGGCAUCUCUACCGUCUGGAAAGCUUUUCGGUCUGGGGAUGGACUCGCGGCCUAUCAGCUAGUUGGUGAGGUAAUGGCUCACCAAGGCGACGACGGGUAGCCGGGCCUGAGAGGGCGACCGGCCACACUGGGACUGAGACACGGCCCAGACUCCUACGGGAGGCAGCAGUGGGGAAUAUUGCACAAUGGGCGAAAGCCUGAUGCAGCGACGCCGCGUGAGGGAUGACGGCCUUCGGGUUGUAAACCUCUUUCAGCAGGGAAGAAGCGAAAGUGACGGUACCUGCAGAAGAAGCACCGGCUAACUACGUG